Ciona intestinalis (vase tunicate) is the source of this 1647-nucleotide non-coding RNA. The record is from RefSeq and is a predicted model, not a curated record. NCBI's taxonomy places the organism in Eukaryota, Metazoa, Chordata, Ascidiacea, Phlebobranchia, Cionidae.
GUUGUGAGCAAGUUGUUAGCCAUGAAAAAAUUAGAAUUAGGUUGUCAAGUAGCUUAUUUUAACGACUGUCGUUUUGUUGCUAAUUUACUUCUCUUCGCGUUGUUUUAGUUAUUUGGCCUUCCCUGUAUUCUAAGGGACGCAAAUAUAAUUUGAAGUUGAUGUUGACAGACGUUUAACCUUAACAUAAUUACGCUGUAUAACUUUAUAUUCUACUUUGAGAAUUUUAUAAUCAAAUGUGUAGCAUAUAUUGGACCAUAUCCUAUACUCUUCGUUGUUUUAAUAAGUUUGAUCUUCGCUAUCCUAUUAUAAGGGAUAUAGUAGGUUGGGGGAAGACGGGACACCUUUAGCACAUAAUAUCCAAAAAUCCUGAUCGUGUUUUGUCACUUUAGUAUACUAUGAUUAGACUGUAGCAUAUUAUCAAACUUUGCCCAUUAUGUCGAAAAUGAUUGUCGGUUAUUGGGGGUGCCGUGGACUUGGUGAACCGAUUCGUCUCAUGCUUGAAUACGUGGGUGAAGUUUAUGAAGAUAAGAGGUACGGCCAUUGUAAGGCAGGGGAUGGAUGGGACUUGAGCGCUUGGUUUGACGUUAAGUUUACAUUGGGAUUUGAAUAUCCCAACGUACCGUAUCUUAUUGAUGGAGAUGUGAAAGUGUCAGAAAGUUGGGCCGUGUUGAAAUACAUAGCGAUGAAGCAUAAGCACCUUGCGCCAGCCAACGAUGAGCAGCAGAUAAAAUGCAACAUCGCUGAGGGCGUGGUGUCAGAUUUCAGGAAGACGUACAGAGAUCUCUGCUACAAUGCUGAUUUCGAAAAGUUAAAGGGGGCAUAUACUGAAGGCCUUCCUGCAAAGUUGGAUUUAUUUGAAAAAAAUAUCGUUCUAUCUGGUUGGUUGGCUGGCCCUAAAAUCACCUAUGUUGAUUUCGCAUUCUGUGAAACCUUGGACGAGAUGCGCCUCACCUUCCCCGGUUGUUUCGACAAACACCCAAACCUGCUGGACUACCUCGAAAGAUUUAAUGCUCUGGAGAAAAUUGCAAGUUACAAAUGCUCUGACCGAUUUCACCAGUUCCCAGUCAACGGUAAAAUGGCGGCUUGGAUUGGAGAAGCAGAAUAAAGACACCUUUACGUCGUCUAUACUUGUAACAUGUAGGGAUGGAUAAUAAGACGGGAAACCUUUGGCACAUACUAUCUGAUUAUCCUGAUCUUGUUUUAGACUAUUAACAACGGUCUAUGGAAGUCGUAAGGAUACGGUUUUAUAUUUCUUUGAAGGUCUUUUAACGAGAAAAUUAAUUGAAAAAGUGUCCCAUCUUUUUUCACCCUACUACAUACAUACGUUGCUUUGUUAACCGUAAACGUUAUAAAUGUAGCUGACCCUGCUUAAUGUUAUGGACAAACUCCUGCCUAAAUUAAAAUUUUCUUUCGGUGUUUUCAUUGAUAAAUCAUAAAAAUGACGUUCGCAUACGGCAUACCGAACUAUUUAAAAAAGAUUAAGGUAGUAAAGAUAGAAUUGCUCUAUUAGCAACUACCAACUUGCAGCGUUCUUAACCAAGUUGCCUGAUUGGAAAGUUUGAUUUUUGCGUGUAGGAUAUGCCGCGAAUGUUAAAAACGUAUUUUAGUUACUUCCAGUUUAAUAUUAAAUCAUAAUGUAUCCGUAAA